RNAcentral lists this ribosomal RNA (1530 nucleotides) under Triticum aestivum (bread wheat). Its description in RNAcentral is "partial small subunit ribosomal RNA". Lineage: Eukaryota; Viridiplantae; Streptophyta; Magnoliopsida; Poales; Poaceae. The record is from RNAcentral.
AUGCAGCCCAAGAUCACUAGUGCUUUGGAUCCUAAUUCAAGAGAUGCACUUGGCCUAGCUUGGUCCAAGUUUUUUCAUGCCAAUGAUAUUGCUGGACGUAAAGCUGAUUGCCCAUACUUCCGAGCUGCUGUGAAGAUCAGUCAACAAUUAGGGCCUGCUCCUAUACCAACCGCGAAGGAGAUUGAUGGGAAAUAUUUGGAGGCUAACUAUGAUGAAGCUACUUCCUUUCUUCAAAAAUUUAAACAAGAUUGGAAAAACUUCGGUGUGACUCUUAUGUGUGACUCUUGGACUGGUCCAACAGGAAUGAGCCUCAUAAACUUCAUGGUAUAUUGUAAUACACGAAUGUUCUUCCUCAAUACCAUUGAUGCAUCCGGUCAGACUCAGAAUUCAGACUUUAUCUAUAGAGAGAUUGAGAAGGUUGUAGAAGAGAUAGGCCAUGAACAUAUUGUUCAAAUAGUAACCGAUAAUGGGUCCAACUAUAAGAAAGCUUGCAAAACCCUUAUAGAAGAACCAAAAUACUCUCAUAUUGUUUGGCAACCGUGUGCUGCCCACACCGUCAAUCUUAUGUUAAAAGAUAUAGCCAAAUUUCCCGAGCUUGAUGUGAUAGUCAAGAGUGCCAAGACAAUCUGUAGGUUCUUGCAUAAGCACAAUAACCUACAUGAUAACAUGAAGAACAUAGGUGGUGAACUAAUUAGACCAAAUGCCACCCGUUUUGGGACUGUCUUCAUGUUCCUUGAGAGUUACCAUUUGAAGAAAGAUAAAUUUAGGGAGUGGAUGGUUUCGACUGAUUGGAAGGAGUGUCAGUGGAGGUAUGAGCCUGGAUAUGUGUUUGCUGAAGAAUGUUUGUCUAGUAAUGUUUGGUGGAACACGCUAGAGUGGGUAUUGGGUUCGUUGAGGCCACUUUAUAAGGCCAUGAGGUAUGCUGAUACACAGAAACAAUGCACUCUUUCUGGAUUCAAGAAAAGUAUGAUGCUCGCUAUACAAGGGAUGGAAGCACAUCUAGGCCCUACAUCAAGGUUGUACCUUAGUUUCAUGCGCAAGGUGGGCAAGAGGAUAGAGGCAAUGGAAGAAGAUACAUUUAUGGUUGCAGCUACUGUCCUUGAUCCAUAUACACAUUACAAGCUCAACCUUUGCAACCAUACAGAUUAUGCUACCUCACUAACAGAUGCGAUAGCGAAGAUAUUAGAUCCAAGGAGUGCUCUUUCAGCCACUGAUGAAGUAAGUAAGUUUAGGGAGUGCCAAGGGAGGUUUGGGACCAGAUUAGCAGAAGAAGCUGCGGCGAGAAUGGAGCCAAGUAAGACAUGGUCCUUUAGUUUUAGAAUUUUCAUCUCCUUUUUGUUUGCAAUUCUAAAAAUUUCAUUGGUGAUAUCUUGCAGCCCAAUGGUGGUUUCAAUUUGGAGGGGAUGUUCCUGCAUUGCAGAAGUGUGCAAUGAGAAUUUGCUCACAAUGUGUCUCAUCAAGUGGGUGCGAGAGGAAUUGGAGCGCCUUUGCUUUGGUGCACACAAAGCAAAGAAAUCGUCUUUUAUAUGA